AGAGUUUGAUCAUGGCUCAGAUUGAACGCUGGCGGCAGGCCUAACACAUGCAAGUCGAGCGGAAACGAGUUAACUGAACCUUCGGGGGACGAUAACGGCGUCGAGCGGCGGACGGGUGAGUAAUGCCUAGGAAAUUGCCCUGAUGUGGGGGAUAACCAUUGGAAACGAUGGCUAAUACCGCAUGAUGCCUACGGGCCAAAGAGGGGGACCUUCGGGCCUCUCGCGUCAGGAUAUGCCUAGGUGGGAUUAGCUAGUUGGUGAGGUAAGGGCUCACCAAGGCGACGAUCCCUAGCUGGUCUGAGAGGAUGAUCAGCCACACUGGAACUGAGACACGGUCCAGACUCCUACGGGAGGCAGCAGUGGGGAAUAUUGCACAAUGGGCGCAAGCCUGAUGCAGCCAUGCCGCGUGUGUGAAGAAGGCCUUCGGGUUGUAAAGCACUUUCAGUCGUGAGGAAGGUAGUGUAGUUAAUAGCUGCAUUAUUUGACGUUAGCGACAGAAGAAGCACCGGCUAACUCCGUGCCAGCAGCCGCGGUAAUACGGAGGGUGCGAGCGUUAAUCGGAAUUACUGGGCGUAAAGCGCAUGCAGGUGGUUUGUUAAGUCAGAUGUGAAAGCCCGGGGCUCAACCUCGGAAUAGCAUUUGAAACUGGCAGACUAGAGUACUGUAGAGGGGGGUAGAAUUUCAGGUGUAGCGGUGAAAUGCGUAGAGAUCUGAAGGAAUACCGGUGGCGAAGGCGGCCCCCUGGACAGAUACUGACACUCAGAUGCGAAAGCGUGGGGAGCAAACAGGAUUAGAUACCCUGGUAGUCCACGCCGUAAACGAUGUCUACUUGGAGGUUGUGGCCUUGAGCCGUGGCUUUCGGAGCUAACGCGUUAAGUAGACCGCCUGGGGAGUACGGUCGCAAGAUUAAAACUCAAAUGAAUUGACGGGGGCCCGCACAAGCGGUGGAGCAUGUGGUUUAAUUCGAUGCAACGCGAAGAACCUUACCUACUCUUGACAUCCAGAGAACUUUCCAGAGAUGGAUUGGUGCCUUCGGGAACUCUGAGACAGGUGCUGCAUGGCUGUCGUCAGCUCGUGUUGUGAAAUGUUGGGUUAAGUCCCGCAACGAGCGCAACCCUUAUCCUUGUUUGCCAGCGAGUAAUGUCGGGAACUCCAGGGAGACUGCCGGUGAUAAACCGGAGGAAGGUGGGGACGACGUCAAGUCAUCAUGGCCCUUACGAGUAGGGCUACACACGUGCUACAAUGGCGCAUACAGAGGGCGGCCAACUUGCGAAAGUGAGCGAAUCCCAAAAAGUGCGUCGUAGUCCGGAUUGGAGUCUGCAACUCGACUCCAUGAAGUCGGAAUCGCUAGUAAUCGUGGAUCAGAAUGCCACGGUGAAUACGUUCCCGGGCCUUGUACACACCGCCCGUCACACCAUGGGAGUGGGCUGCAAAAGAAGUAGGUAGUUUAACCUUCGGGG
This 1460-nucleotide ribosomal RNA is filed under the name Vibrio natriegens. Its description in RNAcentral is "bacterial SSU rRNA". It matches the Rfam family "Bacterial small subunit ribosomal RNA". The record is from RNAcentral. Lineage: Bacteria; Pseudomonadati; Pseudomonadota; Gammaproteobacteria; Vibrionales; Vibrionaceae.